UCAAGCUACAAAGAGCACAAGGGGAAUGCCUUGGCACCGAGAGCCGAAGAAGGACGUGACUAACUGCGAUAAGCUGCGGGGAGCCGUAAGUAGGCUUUGAUCCGCAGAUUUCCGAAUGGAGCAAUCCGGCAAGAGGAAAGUCUUGUCAUCAUAUACUGAAUACAUAGGUAUAUGAGGGGAACCGCCUGAACUGAAACAUCUAAGUAGGGCGAGGAAGAGAAAUCAACUGAGAUUCCGUAAGUAGUGGCGAGCGAACGCGGAAGAGGCCAAACCGAGAGUAGUAAUACUUUCGGGGUUCGGACAGAAAACGGUAUUGUAAAGGUUUAGUGGAAUGGAAUGGGAAGUCCAACCGAAGAAGGUGAGAGUCCUGUACACGAAAAGCCUGAACAGCCAUCUGUAUCCAGAGUACCGCCGGACACGUGAAACCCGGUGGGAAUAUGGGGGGACCAUCCUCCAAGCCUAAAUACUACUCGGUGACCGAUAGUGAAGAAGUACUGUGAAGGAAAGGUGAAAAGUACCCCUGACGGGGAGUGAAAAAGAACCUGAAACCUUGUGUUUACAAGCACCGAAAGCUCAUCAAAGAGCGAUCGGGUACCUUUUGUAGAAUGGUCCGGCGAGUGAAUGUAACCGGCGAGGUUAAGCACUUAAGGUGUGAAGCCGCAGCGAGAGCAAGUCUGAAUAGGGCGUAUGAAGUCGGUUGUAUUCGACCCGAAACCGGGUGACCUACCCAUGGUCAGGUUGAAGUAAAGGUAAAACUUUAUGGAGGACCGAACCGACUCCCGUUGAAAUGGUAGCGGAUGAACUGUGGGUAGCGGAGAAAUUCCAAUCGAACCCGGAGAUAGCUGGUUCUCUCCGAAAUAGCUUUAGGGCUAGCCUUGAAAUAGAUUACCGGAGGUAAAGCACUGAAUUGGCUAGGGGCCGAGAGGUUACUGAACCUUAUCAAACUAAGAAUGCCGGAUAAUCGUUUUUCAGGAGUCAGACAGUGGGAGAUAAGUUUCAUUGUCAAAAGGGAAACAGCCCAGACCCACAGCUAAGGUCCCCAAGUAUAGUUAAGUGGAAAAGGAUGUGGAAUUGCACAGACAACCAGGAUGUUGGCUUAGAAGCAGCCACUCAUUAAAAGAGUGCGUAAUAGCUCACUGGUCGAGUGACUCUGCGCCGAAAAUUUAACGGGGCUAAACUAUACACCGAAGCUUGGGAUACAUCUAAUGUAUGGUAGGAGAGCGUUCUGUAUGGGGAGAAGUCGUAGCGAAAGCGGCGGUGGACUAUACAGAAGUGAGAAUGCCGGAAUAAGUAGCGAGAAUUAAGUGAGAAUCUUAAUGGCCGAAAGUCUAAGGUUUUUGGAGGAAGGUUCGUCCGCUCCAAGUAAGUCGGGAGCUAAGGUCAGGCCGAAAGGCGUAGCCGAUGCACAUACGGUUGAUAUUCCGUAACCAUCUGUAAUUUAAGCAAAGGGACACUUCAAAAGGGUGUGACCCGGGCGUUGGUUGACCCGGGCGUAAGGGACCGAAAUUAGAGUAGGGAAGCACACUUAGCUGAAGGCGAGAAAAGCUUUGCGUAUAGAAGCAGAUGCCCGUACCGCAAACCGACACAGGUGGACAGGAAGAGAAUUCUAAGGCCAGCGGGAGAAGGGUAGUUAAGGAACUCGGCAAAUUGACUCCGUAACUUCGGAAUAAGGAGUGCUCGAAAGAGCCGCAGAGAAUAGGCCCAGGCGACUGUUUAGCAAAAACACAGGUCUCUGCCAAAUCGAAAGAUGAAGUAUAGGGGCUGACACCUGCCCGGUGCCGGAAGGUUAAGAGGAGGAGUGAGAGCUCCGAAUUGAAGCCCCGGUAAACGGCGGCCGUAACUAUAACGGUCCUAAGGUAGCGAAAUUCCUUGUCGGGUAAGUUCCG
RNAcentral lists this ribosomal RNA (1886 nucleotides) under human gut metagenome. RNAcentral's name for it is "bacterial LSU rRNA". It matches the Rfam family "Bacterial large subunit ribosomal RNA", at positions 3 to 1985 of the family's 2925-position model. The record is from RNAcentral.